CAGGAUGAACGCUGGCGGCGUGCUUAACACAUGCAAGUCGAACGAAGCACUCUAUUUGAUUUCCUUCGGGAUUGAUUAUUUUGUGACUGAGUGGCGGACGGGUGAGUAACGCGUGGGUAACCUGCCUUGUACAGGGGGAUAACAGUUGGAAACGGCUGCUAAUACCGCAUAAGCGCACAGUACCGCAUGGUAUAGUGUGAAAAACUCCGGUGGUAUAAGAUGGACCCGCGUUUGAUUAGCUAGUUGGUGAGGUAAUGGCCCACCAAGGCGACGAUCGGUAGCCGGACUGAGAGGUUGAACGGCCACAUUGGGACUGAGACACGGCCCAGACUCCUACGGGAGGCAGCAGUGGGGAAUAUUGCACAAUGGGGGAAACCCUGAUGCAGCGACGCCGCGUGGAGGAAGAAGGUCUUCGGAUUGUAAACUCCUGUUGUUGAGGAAGAUAAUGACGGUACUCAACAAGGAAGUGACGGCUAACUACGUGCCAGCAGCCGCGGUAAAACGUAGGUCACAAGCGUUGUCCGGAAUUACUGGGUGUAAAGGGAGCGCAGGCGGGCGAUCAAGUUGGAAGUGAAAUCCAUGGGCUCAACCCAUGAACUGCUUUCAAAACUGAUUGUCUUGAGUAGUGCAGAGGUAGGCGGAAUUCCCGGUGUAGCGGUGGAAUGCGUAGAUAUCGGGAGGAACACCAGUGGCGAAGGUGGCCUACUGGGCACCAACUGACGCUGAGGCUCGAAAGUGUGGGUAGCAAACAGGAUUAGAUACCCUGGUAGUCCACACCGUAAACGAUGAUUACUAGGUGUUGGAGGAUUGACCCCUUCAGUGCCGCAGUUAACACAAUAAGUAAUCCACCUGGGGAGUACGACCGCAAGGUUGAAACUCAAAGGAAUUGACGGGGGCCCGCACAAGCAGUGGAGUAUGUGGUUUAAUUCGACGCAACGCGAAGAACCUUACCAAGUCUUGACAUCCUGCGACGAUGCUAGAAAUAGUAUUUUCCUUCGGGACGCAGAGACAGGUGGUGCAUGGUUGUCGUCAGCUCGUGUCGUGAGAUGUUGGGUUAAGUCCCGCAACGAGCGCAACCCUUAUGGUCAGUUACUACGCAAGAGGACUCUGGCCAGACUGCCGUUGACAAAACGGAGGAAGGUGGGGAUGACGUCAAAUCAUCAUGCCCUUUGUGACUUGGGCUACACACGUACUACAAUGGCGUUAAACAAAGAGAAGCAAGACCGCGAGGUGGAGCAAAACUCAGAAACAACGUCCCAGUUCGGACUGCAGGCUGCAACUCGCCUGCACGAAGUCGGAAUUGCUAGUAAUCGUGGAUCAGCAUGCCACGGUGAAUACGUUCCCGGGCCUUGUACACACCGCCCGUCACACCAUGAGAGCCGGGGGGACCCGAAGUCGGUAGUCUAACCGCAAGGAGGACGCCGCCGAAGGUAAAACUGGUGAUUGGGGUGAAGUCGUAACAAGGUA
Molecule: ribosomal RNA, 1467 nt
Filed under: metagenome
Description: bacterial SSU rRNA
Rfam family: Bacterial small subunit ribosomal RNA
Source: RNAcentral